This is a long non-coding RNA of Oncorhynchus keta (chum salmon), 1401 nucleotides long. RefSeq lists it as uncharacterized. The record is from RefSeq and is a predicted model, not a curated record. The transcript has 4 exons. NCBI's taxonomy places the organism in Eukaryota, Metazoa, Chordata, Actinopteri, Salmoniformes, Salmonidae.
GUUUUACUGUAGUUUUUUCGUUUUUGUAGCUAAUUAUUUUUGCUUCGAUUCAAAGAAACCUAUGUUGUGAUUUUAUUGUAUUUCAUCAAUACAUUUCAUAUUUUGUUCAAUGAUUCCACAGUCUGUAGUAUUCUCUCCACUAGUCCUUUUACAGUGAUGUAUUUACGUGUAGUACAAUAAUGAAACAUGUAUCACAUAUUUUGUACUACAAUAUUUAAUGAUUGUACAAACAACUACACAGUGAAACUAUCAGUAUCUUGUGUGUGGAUGAUCUAAAUGAACGUUCCUAUGGUAUUUAAUGAUAAAUUAGCUAUUUGAACCAAUGAUUCUACACGUGCAAGGUUUCUUUAACGAUAUGAAUGCACAAUGCAAUGUUUUGAACAUUGGACAGCCUGUGUUACAAGUGAUGACCGUCCUGAGUUUUGUGUCUAGAGUUUAAAAAAAUGACCACAAGGUUCUUAAAUUAGUGCCAAAGUGAUUGUUAAAAACUGUAAUAGGUGAGUGUGUGUGUACAUGUGUGCGUUAAUAGGUGAGGGUGUGUGUACAUGUGUGCGUUAAUAGGUGAGUGUGUGUGUGUAUGUGUGUGUUAAUAGGUGAGUGUGUGUGUAUGUGUGUGUUAAUAGGUGAGUGUGUGUGUUAAUAGGUGAGUGUGUGUGUAUGUAUGUGUGUGUUAAUAGGUGAGUGUGUGUGUAUGUGUGUGUUAAUAGGUGAGUGUGUGUGUCCGUGUGUGUUAAUAGGUGAGUAUGUGUGUCCGUGUGUGUUAAUAGGUGAGUGUGUGUGUAUGUGUGUGUUAAUAGGUGAGUAUGUGUGUAUGUGUGUGUUAAUAGGUGAGUGUGUGUGUAUGUGUGUGUUAAUAGGUGAGUAUGUGUGUAUGUGUGUGUUAAUAGGUGAGUGUAUGUGUGUGUAUGUGUGUGUUAAUAGGUGAGUGUGUGUGUAUGUGUGUGUUAAUAGGUGAGUGUGUGUGUAUGUGUGUGUUAAUAGGUGAGUGUAUGUGUGUGUAUGUGUGUGUUAAUAGGUGAGUGUGUGUGUAUGUGUGUGUUAAUAGGUGAGUGUAUGUGUGUGUAUGUGUGUGUUAAUAGGUGAGUGUGUGUGCACGUGUGUGGAAGAGGACAUUUACAUAAGCUCUGCUGACUCAAUCCCUUUCCCCCACAAAAAAAAUCUAUUUUAUUUCUUCAUCAGUGCCUUUUCCAUCAUCUAGCCCCCCUCCCCCACUUCUCCUCCCAAAAUAUGACAUUUACAUUUUAAUAGUGCCACACUGAUAAGGGACAAAGGUUAGGCAAAUGUUCCGGGAGCGAAUUGUUGAUUUUUUUCUUCCCUCCCUCUCCUCACUGCCUAUUCAAAGCACCUUUUAAUGGCAGAGAUGCUGACUUCUGUUUUUGUUUCAGAACGACAUCAGCCGUG